GAUAAACCUAUUUUCGGCAUCGAUAAG
Molecule: small RNA, 27 nt
Filed under: Bombyx mori (domestic silkworm)
Lineage: Eukaryota; Metazoa; Arthropoda; Insecta; Lepidoptera; Bombycidae
Description: ovarian small RNA-16051
Source: RNAcentral